UGGGGGAUAUUGGUCAAUGGGGGGAACCCUGAACCAGCGACGCCGCGUGAGGGAAGACGGUCUUCGGAUUGUAAACCUCUGUCUUCGGGGAAGAAAGAAAUGACGGUACCCGAGGAGGAAGCCACGGCUAACUACGUGCCAGCAGCCGCGGUAAUACGUAGGUGGCAAGCGUUGUCCGGAAUUACUGGGUGUAAAGGGAGCGUAGGUGGGACUGCAAGUCAAGUGUUAAAUUUAUCGGCUCAACCGGUAACCGCGCUUGAAACUGUGGUUCUUGAGUGAAGUAGAGGCAGGCGGAAUUCCUAGUGUAGCGGUGGAAUGCGUAGAUAUUAGGAGGAACACCAGUGGCGAAGGCGGCCUGCUGGGCUUUUACUGACACUGAAGCUCGAAAGCGUGGGGAGCAAACA
The sequence is a ribosomal RNA, 404 nucleotides long. It matches the Rfam family "Bacterial small subunit ribosomal RNA", at positions 355 to 774 of the family's 1533-position model.